CGAGUCGGCUGGGCGGUCGCGUCGGCGGGGGAGACCCCGUCGCCGAGGAACGUCCGGGCUUCACAGGGCAGGGUGGUCGUUAACGGCGACCCGGGGUAACCCGCGGGACAGUGCCACAGAGAACAGACCGCCAGCGGUUCGCCGCUGGUAAGGGUGAAACGGUGGUGUAAGAGACCACCAGCACAUCGGGUGACCGGUGUGGCUCGGUAAACCCCACCCGGAGCUAGGUCAAGAAGGGACGGCGGUUCGCCGUCGUCCUGCGCAGGCGUUCGAGGGCGGCCCGCCCGAGCCUGCGGGUAGACCGCUCGAGCCUGCCGGCAACGGCAGGCCUAGAUGGAUGACCGCCCAUCGGGAGGCCGCAAGGCGCCCGUGGACAGAACCCGGCGUACAGGCCGACUCGUCCG
Non-coding RNA from Blastococcus saxobsidens DD2, 404 nucleotides. It matches the Rfam family "Bacterial RNase P class A". From Rfam's summary of the family: Ribonuclease P (RNase P) is a ubiquitous endoribonuclease, found in archaea, bacteria and eukarya as well as chloroplasts and mitochondria. Its best characterised activity is the generation of mature 5'-ends of tRNAs by cleaving the 5'-leader elements of precursor-tRNAs. Cellular RNase Ps are ribonucleoproteins. The record is from Rfam. NCBI's taxonomy places the organism in Bacteria, Bacillati, Actinomycetota, Actinomycetes, Geodermatophilales, Geodermatophilaceae.